UCGAGAAUCUUCCGCAAUGGGCGAAAGCCUGACGGAGCGACACCGCGUGCAGGAUGACGGCCUUAGGGUUGUAAACUGCUGUCACGCCAUAGGAAUGUCGCGUCGUGAAUAGCGGCGCGGUUGACCAAAGCGAGAGGAAGAGCCGGCUAACUCCGUGCCAGCAGCCGCGGUAAUACGGAGGGCUCCAACGUUGUUCGGAAUCACUGGGCAUAAAGCGCACGUAGGCGGUUUACUCAGUCGGUUGUGAAAUCCCUCGGCUCAACCGAGGAACUGCAUCCGAUACUGGUAGGCUCGAGAGUGGAAGGGGUGAGUGGAACUCCAGGUGGAACGGUGAAAUGUGUAGAUAUCUGGAGGAACACCGGUGGCGAAAGCGGCUCACUGGUCCAUCUCUGACGCUGAGGUGCGAAAGCUAGGGUAGCAAACGGGAUUAGAUACCCGCGUAGUCC
Molecule: ribosomal RNA, 446 nt
Filed under: uncultured prokaryote
Description: bacterial SSU rRNA
Rfam family: Bacterial small subunit ribosomal RNA
Source: RNAcentral